This 494-nucleotide ribosomal RNA is filed under the name uncultured bacterium. RNAcentral's name for it is "partial 16S ribosomal RNA". It matches the Rfam family "Bacterial small subunit ribosomal RNA", at positions 28 to 507 of the family's 1533-position model. The record is from RNAcentral.
GACGAACGCUGGCGGCGUGCUUAACACAUGCAAGUCGAACGGUGAAGCGCCUUCCUUUUUGGUGGGUGUGGAUGAGUGGCGAACGGGUGAGUAACACGUGAGUAACCUGCCCCCUUCUUCUGGAUAACCGCAUGAAAGUGUGGCUAAUACGGGAUAUUCUGGGUCUGUCGCAUGAUGGGUCUGGGAAAGAUAUUGUUUCGGUGGGGGAUGGGCUCGCGGCCUAUCAGCUUGUUGGUGGGGUGAUGGCCUACCAAGGCGGUGACGGGUAGCCGGCCUGAGAGGGUGGACGGUCACACUGGGACUGAGACACGGCCCAGACUCCUACGGGAGGCAGCAGUGGGGAAUAUUGCACAAUGGGCGCAAGCCUGAUGCAGCGACGCCGCGUGAGGGAUGGAGGCCUUCGGGUUGUGAACCUCUUUCGCCAGUGAAGCAGGGCUGCCUCGUUUGUGGGUGGGUUGACGGUAGCUGGAGAAGAAGCGCCGGCUAACUACGUG